UCGAGAGGCUUCGGCAAUGGGGGAAACCCUGACCGAGCGACGCCGCGUGCAGGAUGAAGGCCCUUGGGUUGUAAACUGCUUUUGUUGGGGAAGAAAUGCGAUCAGGUGAAUAAUCUGGUCGUUUGACGGUACCCGACGAAUAAGCUCCGGCUAACUCCGUGCCAGCAGCCGCGGUAACACGGGGGGAGCAAGCGUUGUUCGGAAUCACUGGGCGUAAAGGGCGUGUAGGCGGUUAGGUAAGUGGGAUGUGAAAGCCCCCGGCUCACCCGGGGAUCUGCAUUCCAUACUGCCUGACUUGAGUAUGGGAGAGGAUAGGGGAAUUCCUGGUGUAGCGGUGAAAUGCGUAGAUAUCAGGAGGAACACCGGUGGCGAAGGCGCCUAUCUGGCCCAAUACUGACGCUGAGGCGCGAAAGCUAGGGGAGCAAACGGGAUUAGAUACCCCCGUAGUCC
This 450-nucleotide ribosomal RNA is filed under the name uncultured bacterium. RNAcentral's name for it is "bacterial SSU rRNA". It matches the Rfam family "Bacterial small subunit ribosomal RNA", at positions 355 to 796 of the family's 1533-position model. The record is from RNAcentral.